UACGUAGGGCGCGAGCGUUAUCCGGAAUUAUUGGGCGUAAAGAGCGUGUAGGCGGCCAAGCAGGUCCGUUGUGAAAACUGGAGGCUUAACCUCCAGACGUCGACGGAAACCGCGUGGCUAGAGUCCGGAAGAGGAGAGUGGAAUUCCUGGUGUAGCGGUGAAAUGCGCAGAUAUCAGGAAGAACACCAAUGGCGAAGGCAGCUCUCUGGGACGGUACUGACGCUGAGACGCGAAAGCGUGGGGAGCGAACAGG
Molecule: ribosomal RNA, 253 nt
Filed under: uncultured bacterium
Lineage: Bacteria
Description: partial 16S ribosomal RNA
Rfam family: Bacterial small subunit ribosomal RNA
Source: RNAcentral